RNAcentral lists this ribosomal RNA (309 nucleotides) under uncultured bacterium. Its description in RNAcentral is "partial 16S ribosomal RNA". It matches the Rfam family "Bacterial small subunit ribosomal RNA", at positions 504 to 809 of the family's 1533-position model. The record is from RNAcentral.
AGAGACAGCAGCCGCCGCGGUAAUACAGAGGGUGCGAGCGUUAAUCGGAUUUACUGGGCGUAAAGCGUGCGUAGGCGGCUUUUUAAGUCGGAUGUGAAAUCCCUGAGCUUAACUUAGGAAUUGCAUUCGAUACUGGGAAGCUAGAGUAUGGGAGAGGAUGGUAGAAUUCCAGGUGUAGCGGUGAAAUGCGUAGAGAUCUGGAGGAAUACCGAUGGCAAAGGCAGCCAUCUGGCCUAAUACUGACGCUGAGGUACGAAAGCAUGGGGAGCAAACAGGAUUAGAUACCCCAGUAGUCCCUGUCUCUUAUAA